AGGAAAUGCUGGAUGAGUCCCCAAAGUGGGGCCACUAUAUAGCAGGGCAGGGAGCCCGGUGGCCCUGGGGGCUGUGGGGCGCACCAGCAAGAGUCGCCCUACAUGUGAGGGCAGACAAGGCCGUCCACCGCCUGGGAACCAGCUGCAUCAUCUGCGUACGUCUCAUUCCACCACGACAACAACGACGCCAGCUAAGUAGCACCCGUGGUGCUUCUGCUUUGGACCGCCUUGUCUUUCUUUUCAGGACGGGGCGAGUCUCCAGAGCCGAAGUCUUUAACACUCUGGCUCCCCACAGCUUAGGCUUUGGGGUCAACAGCUUCAACCUGGUGGCCAUUGCUCGCCCCCCGUCGGCCCUAUCAGAGGAAGUCCCGCCCACCGGCUUCCUCUCUCCUUGUCUAUCAACAUCCCAUGCGACUGCUGAUUGGUCUUCUUGGCGCCCAAGGUCCCUGCCCAGACCUUCCGGCUGUUUUCCUUCCUUCCUCUGGUGCUCACCUUGGGUGGUAGCACGAAGUCCAGAGGCUUACUGAGGGAGCGACCACAUUUGGAUAGAUGAGUCUAUGAUCCCUGGAGAAGGAAGAAGUAUAAAGUGUUGGAGGAGAAAACCUACUGGUCUGGAGGAGGAAUUUUUCUUCAGGGUGAAAAUGCAGAGAAUUUCUACAUAUUGAGUCAGUGUUGCUGCAAACGGUUGAAGUAUGUUGUAUGCAAAAUGUCAACUGGGCAAUAUUUAAAGCAAGGUGUCUUGUCCCAUUGGCACAUAAGAUGGCAGAGUAUCUUCCUGCAUAGGGAUGAGAACGCCUGGAGAGAUCUGAAGCCUUGUCAUUUCUGUGGAAAACAUUUAUCCUGGCCGGUGAAAACACAAGCGUUUGAGUGAAGCACUGUCAUUUUGAAGGGAUCACUGGAGAAGCACUGUUGAGGUUUCGCCAGUUUAUGUAAUAAUCAAAUUAUCCAAGUUCGACUGGCAUAAACAGGUCUGGGAGCAAACAGACCUCUUGGAAAGUGUUCGGCUUGACUGGCGGGAGCAGAAGGGCGCAGGCGCACCGGGGAGCGGCCCGCUGGCAGCUCGCGUUUGUGUGCGCAAGGCACCCAGUCACAGAGGGAAGAGACGGCAAGUGGGCCCAGAGGCUCUGCUCUAUCCAAUACCCGGAACCGUUUCAGGAAGACAAGAGUGCAGCUCACAAGGCUGAAGACACGGUCACAGCUCCACUUCCCACCUUCGCUGCUUUUCAAUGUAUUCUCCUCCUUGCUUUG
This is a non-coding RNA of Microcebus murinus (gray mouse lemur), 1248 nucleotides long. The record is from RefSeq and is a predicted model, not a curated record. Lineage: Eukaryota; Metazoa; Chordata; Mammalia; Primates; Cheirogaleidae.